This 301-nucleotide ribosomal RNA is filed under the name uncultured bacterium. RNAcentral describes it as "partial 16S ribosomal RNA". It matches the Rfam family "Bacterial small subunit ribosomal RNA", at positions 512 to 808 of the family's 1533-position model. The record is from RNAcentral.
CAGCAGCCAGUAAUACAGAGGGUGCAAGCGUUAAUCGGAAUUACUGGGCGUAAAGCGCGCGUAGGUGGUUUGUUAAGUUGGAUGUGAAAGCCCCGGGCUCAACCUGGGAACUGCAUCCAAAACUGGCAAGCUAGAGUACGGUAGAGGGUGGUGGAAUUUCCUGUGUAGCGGUGAAAUGCGUAGAUAUAGGAAGGAACACCAGUGGCGAAGGCGACCACCUGGACUGAUACUGACACUGAGGUGCGAAAGCGUGGGGAGCAAACAGGAUUAGAUACCCGCGUAGUCCCUGUCUCUUUACACA